This 1235-nucleotide ribosomal RNA is filed under the name metagenome. RNAcentral's name for it is "bacterial LSU rRNA". It matches the Rfam family "Bacterial large subunit ribosomal RNA", at positions 1564 to 2808 of the family's 2925-position model. The record is from RNAcentral.
UGAAUACGAGACGCUAAGGCGUCGAAGUAGUGUAUGUCAUACUUCCAAGAAAAGCUUGCACUGUCAUAAGUAAAAAAUGCCUGUACCAUAACCGACACAGGUGGGUAGGUAGAGUAUACUAAGGGGCGCGAGAUAACUCUCUCUAAGGAACUCGGCAAAAUAACUCCGUAACUUCGGGAGAAGGAGUACCUUAUUCUAUAAGGUUGCAAUAACAAGAUCCAAGCAACUGUUUAUCAAAAACACAGGUCUCCGCUAAGUCGUAAGACGAUGUAUGGGGGCUGACGCCUGCCCAGUGCCAGAAGGUUAAAGAAGUCGGUUAGCAUUAGCGAAGCUGGUAACUGAAGCCCUGGUGAACGGCGGCCGUAACGAUAACGGUCCUAAGGUAGCGAAAUUCCUUGUCGGGUAAGUUCCGACCCGCACGAAAGGCGUAAUGAUUUGGAUACUGUCUCGGAGAGGGGCUCGGUGAAAUAGACUUGUCUGUGAAGAUGCGGACUACCUGCACCAGGACAGAAAGACCCUAUGAAGCUUUACUGUAACUUGAAAUUGAAAUUGGACUUUAUUCGCGCAGUAUAGGUGGGAGGUGUUGAUUAUAAUCUUGCGGGAUUAUUGGAGCCAUCAGUGAGAUACCACUCUUGUAAUGUUAGAUUUCUAACUUUGAAUCAUUAUCUGGUCAAAGGACAGUUUCAGGCGGGCAGUUUGACUGGGGCGGUCGCCUCCCAAACGGUAACGGAGGCGUACAAAGGUUUCCUCUGAACGGGUAGAAAUCGUAUCUAGAGUGUAAAGGCAUAAGGAAGCUUGACUGUGAGACCUACAAGUCGAACAGGGACGAAAGUCGGUCUUAGUGAUCUGACGGUACUGAGUGGAAAGGCCGUCACUCAACGGAUAAAAGUUACUCUAGGAUAACAGGCUGAUCUCCCCCAAGAGUUCACAUCGACGGGGAGGUUUGGCACCUCGAUGUCGGCUCAUCGCAUCCUGGGGCGGUAGUACGUCCCAAGGGUUGGGCUGUUCGCCCAUGAAAGCGGUACGCGAGCUGGGUUCAGAACGUCGUGAGACAGUUCGGUCCAUAUCCGGUGUAGGCGUUAGAAUAUUGAGAGGAGCCUUCUUUAGUACGAGAGGACCGAGAAGGACAUACCUCUGGUGUACCAGUUAUCGUGCCAACGGUAAACGCUGGGUAGCUAUGUAUGGAGUGGAUAACCGCUGAAAGCAUCUAAGUGGGAAGCCCACCUCAAGAUAAG